Cygnus olor (mute swan) is the source of this 6802-nucleotide long non-coding RNA. RefSeq lists it as uncharacterized. Lineage: Eukaryota; Metazoa; Chordata; Aves; Anseriformes; Anatidae. The transcript has 3 exons. The record is from RefSeq and is a predicted model, not a curated record.
AGCAACUCCUGAUUGUCUCCUGUAUAUUGAGUCCACAGAGAAUAUGAGCCUCUAUCUUCAGUAACGUAUUUCAAAUGCUUCAGUUCGCUGUACCCGAUCUUAUUCACGUGGAGGAGUGAAGAUACCACGCAACAUCUGAGAUGUCUUCUCUGUUGAUUUCUCAGAAGUACAUUGUAUGGAGCACACCUUUUGCACACCUUUUUCCAGAUGAUGCAGAGAUGCUGUUUGAUUGCUCCCGGUACAGAGCUGGUAACUGCAUCUUCCAGAGAAAUAAAAGUCCAAGCAAUUAAUGAAGUAUGCAUGGAGACAGUGGUAAAAGACCAAAUGUAGUACCUUAGAUGUUCCCUUCUUCUCUGCUGGAACAAGGAGGGAUACUCUUGGGAGGUACUGACUGCAUCAGUGUGGACCAGCUCUUGGCCAUCUCAACAUUUUGGUAGAUGUCUCACGAGCUUGGGAAGACCACUCAGUGCUGGGGUUUGGCAGCACAGACGGGACUCGCUGAGUUCAUCUGAAAACCUCUCCCAGAUGCAUCCCAGAUGCAUGGUCUCAAAACCAUGCUCCCCUUCUGCAGCGGACACGACGAGGGUGAAGGUGGGUGCCGUGCUAACACAGCAGGUUGUUUGCCAGGAUGUAAUGUGCUGCUGUUCUCCUGUGUUGCUAUUCCCCUGGCAAUGACAGCAAUUGUUUGACACAUCAUGCUGCCUGACGCAUGCCUGAGCUGCACAGUGCUGGCAUGAGCUGGCGUUACACCUGCCGAGUAAUUGCGCUCUCGCUAGCUUCAAGAUCGGGCACGUGAGCCUCAGCCAUUCUGAGAACAGCUUCAGCCGAGCGCAAAAUCAAGCUAAAGAGAGAAACCCAGCAGGCAGCGAGGUGCUGAGUCACCACGCAGCCCUCCUCGGAUAGCCUUGCAGCAGCGCAGAGGAUCAAAGGUGAGGUGACCUUGUGCAUGGGAGGUGAGGCGAAGUCCUCUGUGCGGGCUGGAAUGUACAUUAGCUCAGGAAUGCAGACAGGCAAACAGGGCUGAGCGAGCGCCUUUAUUAGCUGCUCUAGGCACGGCUUUGAGAUCGUCCGCGUCUAAGAGGAAAAAGCUCUGCGUUUGUCCAAAACUCUGAGAAUCAAAUGCUCACAACAUAUUCUUCGACCUGUUCUUCUGACCGGGACUGCGAUUAGGCUGGGUGAUCUUUGGUUUUGUUCUGCUCUGGUUUGAAGCUAGCUGGGUCAUUCUGGGAAGCCUGGAAACGUCUCUUUAAUUUGCUAAAUAGGAAACUUGCAUCCAGCCUGUAAUUUCACAAUUCUCAUUAUAAUCUGCAAAGGAGGAUUACAACAGGCUGUGUUUUAAAGAUUACUAUUUCCCAUCCCAGCUCCAGCCCACUCUCUUUAUUUCAGUGGUCAAAAUAUCAAGGUCGUUAUUUCUGGGUAUAUUCUGCACUUGCUGAUUUCUGUACCGACUCCUGGCCUAGGUAAUUAAACUAAGCUACCUUUUGACUACUUUUAGAGGGAUUGUCUGGCCAGACUGGUUUCACUGGCUUGUCAUAUGGACCCAAAGCAACAAAGAGGCCAGUGCUGUUUGCCAGAUCCCCUCCGUGGCUCUGAGAGGUGUGUUACAGAGAACACAAAGGUGUUGGUGAAGAUGAAAGCAGAACCCUGUUGUUUUCUGUUUAGAUGCCUUGCUGUGUGCUGGGAUCACAGGUGCUACUACAGAUGGUACAGACGGGUAAAUUUCAUCCCUAGUAACUUUACACAUCUGCAAUGUGAACUUUUACUUCUGAGUAGUCAUCCUGGACCCCCUUUACAUUUCAAAAAUUUACCUCUCCCUAAAGUAGACAUUGGCAACAUGUGCCCUGUUGGGUUUUGCCCUAAAAGACCCCAUUUGUCUUCAUGAACAUCAAUAGAGGUCAGCAAAUAACCUCACAGACAGACAUCUACACCUGAGGUAUUCAGAUUUAGUUAGUGAGCCUCAGAUUUCCAGUCGAGUUUUCUCUGGAUCUCAGGGUUAUGAAAUCAAACCUCUGCUCAGUCUAUUUUUACAUCAGCCAGACAUCUCUGGAGAUGGAAUUGCCCUCCUCCCCAGAUAUGAUUUGAAUUUGUUUGCUAAAGCAUCUGCACAUAUGGCCCUUCACAGAAAUCAUGCUUUUAUGAGCUUCUUGCCUUGGGGCAUACCUCCCUUUUGAACCAUCCUCUGUGUGAAGUGUUGUGUGGCAAGGCAAACUGAAUGGGAUGGCUGUGUUUCUUUCCAUUACUAUUUGGGAAGCCACCAGUGACCAGAACAGCCAUGAGAAGAAAGCCACAAGGGCAGAAGGCCCAGACUGGCUCCCGAUGGACAAAGCCCAUCACGAACCAGCCUACGUGCAGAACUGGGGGGCUGUGCCUGGAUCAUGCCUUACCGUGCGCCAUGGGAUCCUCGGGAUGAAAGAAGCUACAUAAACAUAAAAUAUCUCUAUUGAUUAUAAAUGACAGCAAAAGGGAAACAUGUGAUUUAAAGCAGUGCCAGCUGUGGUCUAAUAUCAGAUAAACCACACUGAUGCUGUUGUCAAAUCGUUAUCCACUCUACACCACUCAAUCUGGGGGUAAGGAUAAUUUUUUCUAUCGACCCUACAAAGGUCUGCAUGCUCCCGUGUGCCUUUCCUGCAGAGAUAUGGACAUGGACACUGCUGACAAGUUGCAUUCCUCUUAUCGGGGGCGGUUAUGUCAUUGGGCUGGUGUAAAUCUCCCUCUUCCUCGCUCGCUCCUGUCACAAAGAAGGAGGGCAGUUUGGCACGGCGCUGCCCCCCGGCGCAAGAGGUGUGACUUGUCAGCAAAAAAGUCAUGGAAGCGAUUCUACCGAGGGUGACAAAAGGUUGAAAGCUAACGCAGGGACCUCCCAAGAAAGCACCAGGCAAUCUGCACAGCGAUUCCUCCUCUCAACCCGUGUUUUAUGUAAGGGGACGGGAGGCUGACUCACUGUGCUGGGGACCUCCCGAAAAGCUGGGCAGGACGGGCAUCCUACAGGCUGCUGUUACGCCAUCCAUCUUUGGAAAUGUGGUCCCAUCAGUUUGUAAAUUGUGUGUUUCCAUAUCUCAUCUCACGUGGCUUUGGAGGAAUGCACCAAGCAUCGAGUGCUGCUUCAGGUGCGCCGUAGUAUCAGAGACGUCGGCUUGAGGCUGGUAGGUGGGAGAUGGGACCUGUGCAAGACCUGGGUCCUUCCUGAGUGGCAGCUAGAGGCCAGGUGAGAUAGACCAGGGCAUCUUCAGGGGCAUUAGGUGUAUAUUUGGGCAUCUGCAUUCCUUCCUACAGGUCUGCAUCUUCAGUGUCUCCAUCUGAGCUGGUCACCCCGGGCUGUUUUUGUACAUGGUGUAGAGACGUAAGUAUUUUCAAGGUGUGGUUUAGCCAGACUGUUUUAGACACCUCUUUUAGGAGAAGGUGAGUUGUUCCCUAGACACCACCGACUGUCACAAUUAGAUUUCUGUGACUACAAAGGGAGCGUAGAGCUGCUAACUCAAAUGCAGGCAUUUGCAUCCAGUCGGCUGAAUCUCAGCCCGGGUCUGGUCUGUCUCAUGUUGACAUCAGUUUCAUACCAAGAAAAAAAAAGCAAUCCACGGAUCUGGUUGUGCUUGUAAUUACAGCAGUGUCAGUGAGAUUAGACUCAGAACCACCACUUGGCAGUUUUGUCCCCCAGCGUAAGCUCUGACAGAUAGUCAUUACGGUAACGUUUUCAUGGCUCCUUUCGUAAAAACAAGAGUUUCAGUUGAGAAUUAUUUGUUUGGAUCCGAGCCAAUUGCAAACUGUUUCUAUUUUAACGGGGUGUCCCAAGACGCUUUCAGUUACAAUGAGGUGAGCAAGAGAUGUUUUGGUUUGCUGGCGAUUCUGGAAGAUAAUUGCAGACAUCUAUAUUGUUCCUAUUUUUCUAUAUUGUAAAAAGUUUCACUCAACACCAGAGAAAACACGUCAGGUCAUUUUUUAAGCAUUUUUCAAGUUAAAAAGAAAAAGAACCGAGUGAAAGGAAAUAUCUGAACAGAAAGACAUUUCAUAGUGAAAUCCUUCUCAAGCAACUUUUUUUUUGGUUUCAAUUCUAAAUGAAUUUAUGUGGCAAAACUGACAGAAAUUUGCAGUGUUUCUGCUUUUUUCACCAGAAAGAGCAUUUAGCCCCAAAAAUACACCCACGCUGUUUCAGCUGCAGCGUUCACAGAACCGCAAGGCUCUGGGCCCUUGCUGGCAGGAUGGGAGGGACCGGGAGCAGCCCCUGCAGGUUGGUGACAGAAGGUUAGCAAAGGGCUCUUGGAAACCUUCCCUCUGCGACACUUCCACAAGGUAAAUGUUCCCGUUAUUAUUUGCAAGCCGGCCGUAUAUCACAGCAAGUACCAGGUACAAUAAGACCCAGACAGCAAGACUGAGAAUAAAUAGAUGAUGGAAUUCCUGGCAUUAGUUCUGGAGCAGUUUGGGACUGGAACGAGUGAAAAAUACAAUUUCUCUAAAAGGGAAGUUUCCUGUGAGUAAAAGCCAAAUGUUCCCCUCUGCUCCCCCUCCUUCUUUCCCCAGAUUCCAGUUUUUCACUGGGGAGAAUCCAAGUGUUUCAAGUGAGUUCAAGCAGAAUUUCAUUUUGUUGAACUGGCCUGAUUUGGGAUGCAAACCGACCUCUGAAAUGCUGAAAUUUCCCGUGGGAGCAGAAAUUCUGAAUUUUGCUCAGCUCUAGUUACUCCUUGCAUGGAAAUGGCCUAAAGCAAACAAACAACCACUCUCCUCGUGCGGGUAGGAGAAGCGCCUGGUAAGUAGGUUAAUUUGGAAGGGGUUCCCUGGUGGCAGCUCCUCUUCCUCUCUUCUGCCUGGGGAAACCUGUGCAGGGAUCAGCUCUGCAGAGCGGGCAGUGACAAGCUCCCCUUCCGGGCAGAAAUAAACACACACAUAUAUAAACUCAAAGAUCCAUUCCUACAGGAGUUGUUUACACCCCAGGGCAGGCUGAUGUGGCCUGAAAGUGCUCCACUGACCUCAAUGGAUUGCCCUGGCAAAAGGAUCACCGCGUUCCCCAUGUGAAAACAUGCGAUUUCCCAGCAAAACUAAGACCCUCAAGAAUUUUGUGGUAGGCUUCGCAAAGCAGCUGAUGGCCCAGAUGGGACUUCAUAGCUGCGGCUGGAUCCUGAAAGGCUGCCAGCUGGCGAGGCAGCCCCGUGGGUGAGGUAUCCGCACGUUACCGGUGAGGAUCGGCGAAUGUGCCAGAGCUGGGGCCCCAGGGGGAUGCGAGCAGCCCUGGUGGAGGCAGCUGGGUCCUUCUCCUUGACUCUGUCUCUCUGACAGCUCAGGAACACGGCUGCAGGAUGACAGCAGCCUCCAGACCUGGUGAAAACCUGGAGCAGCUCAGGGGAGAGCCAGACCCCGAGGUGCGGAGCGCGGCUGCUUCUCCUACCCGUGGCUUGCUGUCCAUACAUACAGGGCACAGGGUGAGGAACCGUGUGGUUCUGCCUCCGUGCAGCCAACAACAAAGAUGGAUGCGCCCUCUAAGCACCGCAGGCUCCGUCCCAAAGUAUUCCUGGCUUUCCAUGCUGAGCUUCAGCCUCCCACCGGCUACUGUAUGGCCGCAGCCCUUUCCCUCUCAUCUGAGCAAAGCGCCCUGCGAACAAUUAAGUCUCACUAUCCCCUAGCGAGCUGGGGAAGAAUUAUCUCCUCAUUUUUACCUGUCUGGGAAAUGACACAGAAAUUAAUUGACUUCUUCAAGGUCACUCAAAGAGUCAGGGGGAGAUGUGAAAAUGGGACCCAGGAGUCCUGACUGCUGGUCUUUUCUAACCACCAGAUACCUAACAUCAAUUGCUGGAAAACCCGCUCAUAGGCUUUGCAGUUUUGAUUAAAGAUUCAAAAAAUACUGGAGCUUUAAAGGAAAAAAAUAGUUCUCUCCAACUUUACCCGGCGAUGCAUGACCAGGCACAGCCCCCCUGGGAAUACAAGCUCCGCUGAAGACGAGCUGACCGGCUGUCUGCUCCAAAUACACGAGGGGUCCUAGGCUUGACGCCAAGUGACAUGGGCAGCAAGCUUGGCUCCUGCUGCUCCGGGCACCCAGGUGUCUGGCAGGGCUUUGCGCAUCCGUGGGUCACCAGAAGACGAGGCUCUGAGUGGAAAAGCAGCAAGCUGUGAGUUUAUGCCUGCAUUAGUGUUGGAAAGCAUGUUAAUUUAGCUGUUAAACAUAAGCAACCUGGGCUUUGGGGUGACACGUGGAGUAUAGCGGAUGCAUCUGCUGCUCUGCGUGCGCAAGCAGAGCAGUGAGUUGGCUCCUUUCCCCAAACCAUCCUGUGCAGGGCACAAAGCACCUCCUGCUGGGUUCCUCACCCCCUGCCCUGGGCUCCAGCCCUAGGCACAGCUCCGUGACCCACUUCUGCUGCCAUCGCGUUUCUUCUCCCACCAGCAUGUGGGAACACCCUCCCAGCAUAGCUGCUGCUCCCUCCCGGGCACUGCCCAGCCACGCAAGUGCCCCACACAAGGGCGGUGAGAGGACCACGACCUGCCCCUUAAUUUGCUCUUACCUCUCUGGGUUCACCACUCACAAAUGCGCCAUCUCCUCCAGCAAGACCUGGCCCAGCCAUGGGGCUCCAGGAGCCUGACUCACUGUUACCCUCUAGUGCUGGACCAGGCGGGCUACAGGCUUUUCCCCAGCAAAAGCAGGCACCAGCAGGUUAUUCUCUUUGCUCCAGGCCACCCCAAAUUCAAUCCUGGCCACAGCAACUCAUCUUAGCUGAAUUUCAGCCCCACGAUGGCUUGCCUUCCUCUGCCUCUUGCACCAUCGCUGGGCAGAUUUGUCACCUGUAGGGUGGUAGGAGGGACAAGAGUUUUGGUUCAUUUG